RNAcentral lists this ribosomal RNA (397 nucleotides) under uncultured bacterium. RNAcentral's name for it is "partial 16S ribosomal RNA". It matches the Rfam family "Bacterial small subunit ribosomal RNA", at positions 523 to 918 of the family's 1533-position model. The record is from RNAcentral.
AUACGUAGGGAGCGAGCGUUGUCCGGAAUUACUGGGUGUAAAGGGAGCGUAGGCGGGAGUGCAAGUCAGAUGUGAAAUACAUGGGCUCAACCCAUGGGCUGCAUUUGAAACUGCAUUUCUUGAGUGAAGUAGAGGUAAGCGGAAUUCCUGGUGUAGCGGUGAAAUGCGUAGAUAUCAGGAGGAACACCGGUGGCGAAGGCGGAUUACUGGUCUAUUACUGACGCUGAGGCUCGAAAGCGUGGGGAGCAAACAGGAUUAGAUCCCCUGGUAGCCCACGCCGUAAACGAUGAAUACUAGGUGUGGGGGGUAACGACUCCCUCUGUGCCGCAGUUAACACAAUAAGUAUUCCGCCUGGGGAGUACGGCCGCAAGGUUGAAACUCAAAGGAAUUGACGGGG